CGUAGGGGCAAGCGUUGUCCGGAAUUAUUGGGCGUAAAGCGCGCGCAGGCGGUCGGGUAAGUCUGAUGUUAAAGCCCGGGGCUCAACCCCGGUUCGCAUUGGAAACUGCUCGACUUGAGUGCAGAAGAGGAAAGCGGAAUUCCACGUGUAGCGGUGAAAUGCGUAGAGAUGUGGAGGAACACCAGUGGCGAAGGCGGCUUUCUGGUCUGUAACUGACGCUGAGGCGCGAAAGCGUGGGGAGCAAACAGGAUU
RNAcentral lists this ribosomal RNA (252 nucleotides) under uncultured bacterium. RNAcentral describes it as "partial 16S ribosomal RNA". It matches the Rfam family "Bacterial small subunit ribosomal RNA", at positions 526 to 779 of the family's 1533-position model. The record is from RNAcentral.